This 75-nucleotide transfer RNA is filed under the name Desulfomicrobium sp. RNAcentral's name for it is "tRNA-Cys". It matches the Rfam family "tRNA". From Rfam's summary of the family: Transfer RNA (tRNA) molecules are approximately 80 nucleotides in length. Their secondary structure includes four short double-helical elements and three loops (D, anti-codon, and T loops). Lineage: Bacteria; Pseudomonadati; Thermodesulfobacteriota; Desulfovibrionia; Desulfovibrionales; Desulfomicrobiaceae. RNAcentral also lists the same sequence under 32 other names. The record is from RNAcentral.
GGCGGCAUAGCCAAGUGGUAAGGCAGAGGUCUGCAAAACCUCCAUUCUCCAGUUCAAAUCUGGAUGCCGCCUCCA